GUGGAAGUAGCUUAAUUGGCAGAGCGCCUGUUUGUGGUACAGGUUGUUGUGGGUUCAACUCCCACCUUCCACCCCA
Molecule: transfer RNA, 76 nt
Filed under: Candidatus Dojkabacteria bacterium
Lineage: Bacteria
Description: tRNA-His
Rfam family: tRNA
About the family: Transfer RNA (tRNA) molecules are approximately 80 nucleotides in length. Their secondary structure includes four short double-helical elements and three loops (D, anti-codon, and T loops). Further hydrogen bonds mediate the characteristic L-shaped molecular structure. tRNAs have two regions of fundamental functional importance: the anti-codon, which is responsible for specific mRNA codon recognition, and the 3' end, to which the tRNAs corresponding amino acid is attached (by aminoacyl-tRNA synthetases). tRNAs cope with the degeneracy of the genetic code in two manners: having more than one tRNA (with a specific anti-codon) for a particular amino acid; and 'wobble' base-pairing, i.e. permitting non-standard base-pairing at the 3rd anti-codon position.
Source: RNAcentral